This 472-nucleotide ribosomal RNA is filed under the name uncultured Syntrophomonas sp. Its description in RNAcentral is "bacterial SSU rRNA". It matches the Rfam family "Bacterial small subunit ribosomal RNA", at positions 910 to 1382 of the family's 1533-position model. Lineage: Bacteria; Bacillati; Bacillota; Clostridia; Eubacteriales; Syntrophomonadaceae. The record is from RNAcentral.
UUGACGGGGGCCCGCACAAGCGGUGGAGCAUGUGGUUUAAUUCGAUGCAACGCGAAGAACCUUACCAGGUCUUGACAUCUGUGGAACCUUGUUGAAAGAUGAGGGUGCCUUCGGGAGCCACAAGACAGGUGGUGCAUGGUUGUCGUCAGCUCGUGUCGUGAGAUGUUGGGUUAAGUCCCGCAACGAGCGCAACCCUUGCUAUUAGUUGCUAACAUUUAAGGUGAGCACUCUAAUGGGACUGCCUGUGACAAGCAGGAGGAAGGUGGGGAUGACGUCAAAUCAUCAUGCCCUUUAUGACCUGGGCUACACACGUGCUACAAUGGAUGGUACAGAGAGCAGCGAGACCGUGAGGUGGAGCGAAUCUCUUAAAGCCAUUCUCAGUUCGGAUUGGAGUCUGCAACUCGACUCCAUGAAGUCGGAAUCGCUAGUAAUCGCGAAUCAGAACGUCGCGGUGAAUGCGUUCCCGGGCCUC